Molecule: ribosomal RNA, 1395 nt
Filed under: Curtobacterium sp. Ha18
Lineage: Bacteria; Bacillati; Actinomycetota; Actinomycetes; Micrococcales; Microbacteriaceae
Description: 16S ribosomal RNA
Rfam family: Bacterial small subunit ribosomal RNA
Source: RNAcentral
GCAAGUCGAACGAUGAUGCCCAGCUUGCUGGGUGGAUUAGUGGCGAACGGGUGAGUAACACGUGAGUAACCUGCCCCUGACUCUGGGAUAAGCGUUGGAAACGACGUCUAAUACUGGAUAUGAUCACUGGCCGCAUGGUCUGGUGGUGGAAAGAUUUUUUGGUUGGGGAUGGACUCGCGGCCUAUCAGCUUGUUGGUGAGGUAAUGGCUCACCAAGGCGACGACGGGUAGCCGGCCUGAGAGGGUGACCGGCCACACUGGGACUGAGACACGGCCCAGACUCCUACGGGAGGCAGCAGUGGGGAAUAUUGCACAAUGGGCGAAAGCCUGAUGCAGCAACGCCGCGUGAGGGAUGACGGCCUUCGGGUUGUAAACCUCUUUUAGUAGGGAAGAAGCGAAAGUGACGGUACCUGCAGAAAAAGCACCGGCUAACUACGUGCCAGCAGCCGCGGUAAUACGUAGGGUGCAAGCGUUGUCCGGAAUUAUUGGGCGUAAAGAGCUCGUAGGCGGUUUGUCGCGUCUGCUGUGAAAUCCCGAGGCUCAACCUCGGGCUUGCAGUGGGUACGGGCAGACUAGAGUGCGGUAGGGGAGAUUGGAAUUCCUGGUGUAGCGGUGGAAUGCGCAGAUAUCAGGAGGAACACCGAUGGCGAAGGCAGAUCUCUGGGCCGUAACUGACGCUGAGGAGCGAAAGCAUGGGGAGCGAACAGGAUUAGAUACCCUGGUAGUCCAUGCCGUAAACGUUGGGCGCUAGAUGUAGGGACCUUUCCACGGUUUCUGUGUCGUAGCUAACGCAUUAAGCGCCCCGCCUGGGGAGUACGGCCGCAAGGCUAAAACUCAAAGGAAUUGACGGGGGCCCGCACAAGCGGCGGAGCAUGCGGAUUAAUUCGAUGCAACGCGAAGAACCUUACCAAGGCUUGACAUACACCGGAAACGGCCAGAGAUGGUCGCCCCCUUGUGGUCGGUGUACAGGUGGUGCAUGGUUGUCGUCAGCUCGUGUCGUGAGAUGUUGGGUUAAGUCCCGCAACGAGCGCAACCCUCGUUCUAUGUUGCCAGCGGGUUAUGCCGGGGACUCAUAGGAGACUGCCGGGGUCAACUCGGAGGAAGGUGGGGAUGACGUCAAAUCAUCAUGCCCCUUAUGUCUUGGGCUUCACGCAUGCUACAAUGGCCGGUACAAAGGGCUGCGAUACCGUAAGGUGGAGCGAAUCCCAAAAAGCCGGUCUCAGUUCGGAUUGAGGUCUGCAACUCGACCUCAUGAAGUCGGAGUCGCUAGUAAUCGCAGAUCAGCAACGCUGCGGUGAAUACGUUCCCGGGCCUUGUACACACCGCCCGUCAAGUCAUGAAAGUCGGUAACACCCGAAGCCGGUGGCCUAACCCUUGUGGAAGGAGCCGUCGAAGG